Molecule: ribosomal RNA, 465 nt
Filed under: uncultured bacterium
Lineage: Bacteria
Description: partial 16S ribosomal RNA
Rfam family: Bacterial small subunit ribosomal RNA
Source: RNAcentral
CCUACGGGUGGCAGCAGUAGGGAAUCUUCCACAAUGGACGAAAGUCUGAUGGAGCAACGCCGCGUGAGUGAAGAAGGGUUUCGGCUUGUUAAGCUCUUUUGGUAGUGGAGAAAGAUAGCGGUAGUGACUGGCCUUUGUUUGACGGUACUUACUUUGAAAGUCACGCCUAACUACGUGCCAGCCGCCGAGGUAAUACGGAGGUGGCAAGCGUUGUCCGGAUUUUUUGGGCGUAAGGGGAGUGCAGGCGGUGCAAUAAGUCUGAUGUGAAAGCCUUCGGCUCAACCGGAGAAUUGCAUCAGAAACUGUGGAACUUGAGUGCAGAAGAGGAGAGUGGAACUCGAGGUGUAGCGGUGGAAUGCGUAGAUAUAUGGAAGAACACCAGUGGCGAAGGCGGCUCUCUGGUCUGCAACUGACGCUGAGGCUCGAAAGCAAGGGUAGCGAACAGGAUUAGAUACCCGGGUAGUC